GGUCGGGUACGUUAGUCCGUAACCUAACCAACUAGUCGAGUACGUCGACGACGAGAAGUACUUCGGUAUGAGUAGAGUGGCGCACGGGUGAAUAACACGUAGGUGACCUUCCGAAUAGUGGGGGAUAACUCGGAGAAAUCCGGGCUAAUACCGCAUAUGUACGACAAAUCUGAGAGUAGUCGUAGAAAGAAUGCCUCUACUUGUAAGCAUUCGCUAAUCGAUGAGUCUGCGUCCCAUCAGCUAGUUGGUGAGGUAAUGGCUCACCAAGGCAAAGACGGGUAGCUGGUCUGAGAGGAUGAUCAGCCACACUGGCACUGGGACACGGGCCAGACUCCUACGGGAGGCAGCAGUGGGGAAUAUUGGGCAAUGGGCAGAAGCCUGACCCAGCCACGCCGCGUGAGUGAAGAAGGCCUUCGGGUUGUAAAGCUCUUUCGGCAGGAACGAAACGGUGGUCCCUAAUACGGAUUGCUAAUGACGGUACCUGAAGAAGAAGCACCGGCUAACUACGUG
This 510-nucleotide ribosomal RNA is filed under the name uncultured bacterium. RNAcentral's name for it is "bacterial SSU rRNA". It matches the Rfam family "Bacterial small subunit ribosomal RNA", at positions 60 to 507 of the family's 1533-position model. The record is from RNAcentral.